AAAAGAAAACCAUGAGAGACAAAGAAAGAAAACCAUGGAACCUCAACCCUUCCGAGCUUGAUUUUUUGAGAUCCGUAACUCCAAUAAAAAAUCUAAUUCGAUAAAAUUGUUCGUAUCCUCCUCCUCUACACGUUGGCGUUACUUUUGUCCGGUAGAAGUUGACAGUGACAUAACUCCUCUUUUCCUUGAGUUCGGUCAAUUAGAGUUCUAGGAGGCACAGAAGUUUUCUUCUUCAGCAGCUUGGUCAGAAAGCUUCUCCGAAGUUUUCGUUAUUGUGAUUUCUGUAAGGAGGUAGGGUUUGGUAAUUUUAUAAUAAUUGAAUAUGAAUUUGAUAAGUGAAUGUUCAUUUGAUUGAUUAUUGAUUGAAUUUGACUGAAUUUAUAUUGAAUUUUUGUGAUAUAUUGAUAUUUGUGAUUAGUUUGGAAUUCGGUCAGUUUAAAUGCAGCCAAGAACCGAAUUAUUUUGAUGAAUUUGGGUCUGGAAUAUUGUUGGUAAUAAAGUGGAAUUGGUGAGAUUUGAUGAUGACAUUCAGAUUUAAUAAGAAAUGAAUUGAUGAGAUGCUUUGAGAUAUGUAAAUGGUUUGAUUUUGGAAGCGGUUGGAUUUUUAAUUGGUUUAAUUUUAUAAAUUAUUUUGAUAUUAGAAAUGGUUUUGGUUUGUUAGAAACGAUUUGAAAGAAUUUGAGAAAUGGUUUGGAUGGGACCCGAGAAGGGUGGCAAAGUCCGAGUUUUAGGGGAGAUGCUGUUGAAAUUUUGUUAUAAAAUUUAAGACUUUGUUUGAAAUGUUAUUUAGAAAAAAAAAUUGGAUUUGAGAAAUUGUAUUAUUUAAUUUUUGAUUUAUUAAGAAAAUAAUUAUGUUUCGAGUUUAAUCCAUUUAAGAAAAGUAUAUGUUUUAAGUUCGAUCUAUUUAGAAAAGAAUUAUUUUACGAUUUUAAAUUAUUUAAGAGAAGUAUUAUGUUUUAAGGUUGAUUUAAAUAUGAAAGGGCUUAUAUUUUAAUUUAAAUUUGAAUUAAAAAUUUUAUUUGGAGGAUUUUUAGUGAACUUUAAAAGUAAUUGAAUUUUGAUUGAAUGAUUUCGUUUUGCGACGUUUUGGAAAAAGUCAAAGAAUUAAUUUUAAGGAUGGAACUGGGAUUGUUGGUUUUGAAAUUGGUUUGGGACCUCUGAUUUGUAUGAUUUGGUUUUAAUUUGAUUUAGAAACUUUGUUUGAUUAAUUCAAUUUAAGAAAACAAUGAUUGUUAAGGAUUUCUAAUGAACUUAAGAAAAUGAGAUUGUUUGUCGCUCCCCUAAAGUCUAGAGGCUUUGCUGAGGGGUAUAAUUAAUAAAUGGUUUCUCUUUGUCUUUUAAAAGAAGAAUUAGUUUAAGUGAAAUUGUUUUAAAGGUUUUGGAAAAUGUUAUAAAGAGGUGGUUUUGGGUUUAAAAGAAAAAGAGAAGAUAGCAGAUGUUAUGUCGCUGGAAUGACUUAUCUGACUUGCGAGUUGGAUUGCGUCGGAUGCAGGUCGAAACCGACAAAUGAGCUCAUUACCUGCGAUAGGAAUAGGCAUGCAUCAUCUUUGUUUGCAUAUUUUGCAUUUGGUUCAGUGUUGUGAAUUGUUUGUGAUUGCUUUAGUGUUUUUGUGAUUUUCAUUGCUUGUUAAUUUGAACUUCUAUGACUGGUUAUUGUUCUGGGUCCUUGUGGUGGGCUGUGAAUUAAAUUGAGCUGUGAUAAUCCCGACUUAACUAACUAUCCUGACCCUACUAAAACCUCCCCAAUUUUUACCCCUUAUUUCCACCCAUUUCAGCUACAGGUGCUAAUGUUUAGUGCGGAGCUACAGGAGCAUAGAAUAUUAUGUUUACGAGUUAAGUUGUUAGAUCUUAUUUUUCCCUCGUCGUUUAUUAUUUUAGUUUUAGAAGGGCAAGAUUUGUUUUUGAGAAUUUUAGAAUAAGUCUAUAUAUUAAUGCUAUGUGAAUAUAUAUACUUUUGUGGUUCAGUGG
RNAcentral lists this long non-coding RNA (1968 nucleotides) under Arachis ipaensis. RNAcentral describes it as "long non-coding RNA (AIPA_LNC002583)". The record is from RNAcentral. Lineage: Eukaryota; Viridiplantae; Streptophyta; Magnoliopsida; Fabales; Fabaceae.